UCUUCGCAAAGCAGGAGAGUGAACAAGCGAGUCCUCACAAGGAAGAUCUGCCAGAGACAAAGAAUAUGCAGCAGCACAGAGGGAUGCGAGGUGUACACAUGGAAUCGAUAAAGGAGAGCUGUCCCUCCUCAUUGUGAGACAUCAACUGUGCCGAGUUUGUGGUCCCAGGACAUCAAGGGAUGAAGUCAUGAAGCGAAGGAAGAAGUGAAGAGAGUUUUAUUGGAAACAAGGAGAAGACUAGCUGGUGGAUUUACACAACGG
RNAcentral lists this long non-coding RNA (261 nucleotides) under Fukomys damarensis (Damara mole-rat). RNAcentral's name for it is "lncRNA (ENSFDAG00000025563.1)". Lineage: Eukaryota; Metazoa; Chordata; Mammalia; Rodentia; Bathyergidae. The record is from RNAcentral.